RNAcentral lists this ribosomal RNA (224 nucleotides) under uncultured bacterium. Its description in RNAcentral is "partial 16S ribosomal RNA". It matches the Rfam family "Bacterial small subunit ribosomal RNA", at positions 96 to 334 of the family's 1533-position model. The record is from RNAcentral.
UGGCGCACGGGUGAGUAACACGUGAAUAAUCUACCUCCGAGUGGGGAAUAACCUAGAGAAAUCUGGGCUAAUACCGCAUAACACUUACGAGUCAAAGCAGCAAUGCGCUUGGAGAGGAGUUCGCGGCCGAUUAGCUAGUUGGCGGGGUAAUGGCCCACCAAGGCGAUGAUCGGUAUCCGGCCUGAGAGGGCGCACGGACACACUGGAACUGAAACACGGUCCAG